Molecule: ribosomal RNA, 457 nt
Filed under: Streptococcus mitis
Lineage: Bacteria; Bacillati; Bacillota; Bacilli; Lactobacillales; Streptococcaceae
Description: bacterial SSU rRNA
Rfam family: Bacterial small subunit ribosomal RNA
Source: RNAcentral
GACGAACGCUGGCGGCGUGCCUAAUACAUGCAAGUAGAACGCUGAAGGAGGAGCUUGCUUCUCUGGAUGAGUUGCGAACGGGUGAGUAACGCGUAGGUAACCUGCCUGGUAGCGGGGGAUAACUAUUGGAAACGAUAGCUAAUACCGCAUAAGAGUAGAUGUUGCAUGACAUUUGCUUAAAAGGUGCAAUUGCAUCACUACCAGAUGGACCUGCGUUGUAUUAGCUAGUUGGUGGGGUAACGGCUCACCAAGGCGACGAUACAUAGCCGACCUGAGAGGGUGAUCGGCCACACUGGGACUGAGACACGGCCCAGACUCCUACGGGAGGCAGCAGUAGGGAAUCUUCGGCAAUGGACGGAAGUCUGACCGAGCAACGCCGCGUGAGUGAAGAAGGUUUUCGGAUCGUAAAGCUCUGUUGUAAGAGAAGAACGAGUGUGAGAGUGGAAAGUUCACAGAC